Long non-coding RNA from Erpetoichthys calabaricus (reedfish), 4365 nucleotides. RefSeq lists it as uncharacterized. The transcript is spliced from 2 exons. The record is from RefSeq and is a predicted model, not a curated record. NCBI's taxonomy places the organism in Eukaryota, Metazoa, Chordata, Cladistia, Polypteriformes, Polypteridae.
UUCAUUAUUUGAAUUAAAAAAAAUCUUUAUUAUAGUUCUGCAAUGGAUUAGUGUCAUUAAAGUUUUUGCUGGGCAGCACGGUGGCGCAGUGGCAGCACUGCUGCCUCGCAGUUAGGAGACCCGGGUUCGCUUCUCGGGUCCUCCCUGCGUGGAGUUUGCAUGUUCUCCCCGUGUCUGCGUGGGUUUCCUCCGGGCGCUCCGGUUUCCUCCCACCUACGUGACCCUGUGUUCGGAUUCAGCGGGUUGGAUAAUGGAUGGAUGGAUGAAGUUUUUGCUUGUGUGUUAUGCAAAGUGCUGGCCUCUGUGAUCCUGAAAUAAAUGAAAGGGCACUUCAUAAUACAGGGUGCCCAUAAUGAAUGUAGUAGCUUCAACACAUAUUGAAGGUUUUGCUAAAUGGUGAUGACACAUUUUUGCUUUGCAAUAGGAAGCACAUAAAUUUAAUUAUGACAAAAAAAAAUAAUGUCCCUCCACCAUCUCCAUUUUUAAAAAAUGAAUGGCAUCGGAGGCAAUAGCAAAGAUUUGUAAGGCAUGAGACAAUCUGUUAUAGUCAUAUAUAAGUGCCAUUUUUGGGACUAGAUUAUGAAAUGAAUGCAUCUGGGAGAGAAAACCGGAUAAAAGUCUUAGAUAAAUUGUGUUUAGUUAAAGAAGGUUAUUAAUCAAUUAUUCAUUAUUUUAUAUAGCACCAUUUACAGUGGUGAUAAUGUAAACCCAAUUUACAUAGUAUAGUGCUGUCCAUGCAUUUCUUACAGCUGGGGUUUAGUUUGAACAUUAAGGCUUGUGGUUCUAGAUACACUAGCUUAGCUAGUCCGGUUCAACAAGCAUUAUAAAAUUUUUUCAUUAGGAUAUGGCUUUGUUUUUAUUUUUAUGGUGAAUCCUAUUGGUUUAUGGUGGCUUUAUUAUUCCUUUUUUUCUGUAAUAUGUAAACUUUAUCUUUAAGAUUUUUUACAGUGCAAUCUUGAAAAAGUAAUUGGAAAGUUGAUUUGAAUCAAUAUCUGGCAAUUAAAAUUUGAAAUUGAAUUUCCUUGUGCCCCAUAUGAGGCAGUACUGCUACUGCAGACUUUAAGGUAUGAAAAUUAGCUUUAGUGGCAUUAUUAAAAUACAAUCAAAACACAGUUUGACAGAACUUGCUCUGCCAAAUCUGUAGAAUAUGUUAAAGUAUGGGUUUUUGACAAGAAACACUUGCUUAUAAACUGUUUCUUAUACCGCCUUUUCAUCAUUCAUUUUCCUGCUGUCUUGUUAUAGCAGAAAGUAAAAUUGCUUGCCUGGUAGUUUCUGAAAAACCUAUAGCACUUGUGUUCUGUUGCGACUUACAUAGCUAGUACAAACAUCAAUGAUAUUAGUCCUUCAAUUGUUUGGUUGCAUCUUUGAUAUUUCAAAGUAUUCACAAUGUUGAACUGACUGGCAUGAUGAGUAUAGACUGUAUAUACAGUAUGCAUACUUUGCUGCAUUGGAUGUAUUUUAGUAAGGGUUGUUUUUGGUAAUGUGUAAAUAUGAAUAAUUGUACUUAUGCUACAGCUUAUUUUAUGACCUGUGUACAAACACUGUAGAAAAAGAGAACAUAGAUACACUCCUGUUCUGCUGGAAACUUUAUAUACAUUAGCGAGAAACUACAUAUUGGCAGAAGUAGCUAAAAUGAGCUUUUCCAAGAAAGGUAACUAGCUGUCAAUUUGAUUGUUGUAAAACCUGUUUUAAAAGUAUUCAUUUGAUAAGCUGAAUUUUAUAACAAACAGGUGUUAAAGUAGCAUAAAAAUGCUUCAACAACUCCAGUUGUAGUAGCAUUAGACUUGCAGGACCAAGCUUAAUACUGCAGACAAGACUGACACUGGUUCUGUGCAUAAGCAAGCAAGGUGAAACCUGUAGAAUGCAGGCAGGAGUGGAAUUUAAAAAUUCCAGAUUGCUUAAAGGCUUAACACAUUAAAAUACAUUUUGGUAUCUUUAGAAUGUGUUUGUAGCACUGUGGCUCUAAACCGAUUUUUAGGUGCUUAUAUACAGUACAUAAAAUAGGAGAAUAUAACACAUGGGGAAUUUAAAUAACCAUUUCUGUUAGCCUUCUCUGAUUUUAGUCAGUCAUGCUUUAUUUAAACCUCUUACAGUGAACACUGAUUUAACAGUUUAGAGAUCAGCUUCACAUCCAUGAUUGUACCCGUUUGUAUACUGAAGAGAGAGAUUUUUAUUGUUUUGCAGCUGAAGUAGAAAUUUUAGAUUUUAAUGUUCAGGAUUGGACAUUGUAUAUUGGAAUAUAACUUUAUAGAUUUAUGGGGCUACAGUGAAGUUUAUAUUUAAGUGUACAAAAGGAAAAAAAAAUGCCAGAUAUAACGCCUUAGAGUGGGUUCUUCAAGGAAUAAUGAAUGUUCUUCUGGAGUAGUUCUGCAAUUCAGUUAUAUGUUUGCCUUUUCAGUGUGAUACAGGCACACACUUAUUGUCUAUCUAUUAUGGUAAGUAAUGUUAGGAUAUUCUGAAUUGUUUUUGUAGAAUGUGGUUCCUGUAAAUCAUUCUGGAAUAGGCAAUCGGCCAACAUAAUCUGGCUAUUUGAGUGACUGCAUGUUUACGAUAGCUGAUGGCUUUCAGAAACCUAGAAAUAGUAUUUUGCACCAGAUUGAGUCUUUUUAAGGUGUUUUCAAUUAUAGCAGUUGUUUCACACUCUGUAGCGAUUCUCCCCAGCAGUCUGGUUUGUGUAGGUAAAUGUGAACAUACCAGUGGCAGUAUGUUGCAGAUCAAAACAACCAGACCAAGACCCUUUAGAAUGGUGGUGCAGUAACAAGUGAACCUUGGAGUAGUCCUGCUACACCAUUGCUGCCAGUAAUUCAUCAAUUUCAGAAUAAACAUAAAUACACACACACAUACAUACAAAUGUCACAUGAAACAACGUGCUCAAGUACCAAUAAUCAUAACAAACCUAGUACCCGAUUCAGAGCCUUUCUAUUUAUCUAAUUAUUAGAUAGAAGUUGACAAAGCUUAAAGCUUACUUGUGAUUUGAUCAGUUGACCCAGGUACAGAGGUUUAGAGAAAUGAAUAGCAGUGCCCUCUGUGACCAAAGAACACCCAUAAUCGUGCACUGCAAAGGAUGAUGCAGACACUGGAGGCGCAUUAACUUUGAUACUAUGUGGUAAGCAUUAAUGAAACAUUCCAAAUGAACAAAUUAAUAAAUAUUUGCAGUCCUAAAGACCAUAGACAUGCAAAUUAAAAUAAACUAAAUAGAGGUUAUGUUUGUAUAGUAGGCAGUUAGAGAGUAAGUACCAACAUCAUACAGUGAAAUAAAACUGAUGCUUUCACUGGCUAAAUGAAAUUGAAGCAAAUCACUGUAUGCUGUCAGCAGCACUUGCCAUCUUCUGUAGAGUCACCUAGAUGAAUCACUUGCUUUCUCUAGCUUGCAAAGUAGUACAUAAUUUUCAUGUCCUCUUCUAGUUACUAGAUGAUUGGUAUAAUUCUGUUCACAGAGCUGUGUUUGGCAUAUAUGCGGCAGUGCACAAACACGGCUGUCAUUGACCCUUCAUGAUGAUAUUUCCUGAGAAAAAAAAUUCUGCCCAAUGAAAGAAGUCAACAACAUGCCCACAGGGUGUCUAUUGUUGCGUUAUACAUUCACUUGAAAGUUUAUUAUGUGAAACAUGACCAAACUAACUGGAGAUUGGAACAAAGUAACUGAUCAUCUCUUGAUUCAGAACAAAGCAAAUGGACUGUGAGUGUGAAAAUGCCUUCAUUCCAACUUUUAGGAAAACCAUUGAGUAAGAGACAAGCAGCAAUGCAAUAUAGAGUUUGUCAAUAUAUGGCUAAAUAUUGGCAUAUUUAAUGCCCAAACAGAAAUUUUUACUUUUGUACACUGAUUAAAUUUAUUAAAUAUUUGCCACAGCCUGUUUUAAUCACACAUGGAUUGUGGGAUAAAUUUCAUCCCUUUAUUUACAUUGCUUUAUAGUUUAUGCUAUAUGAGAUGUAACCCUGGAUGAUAUUGAUGCAUUUAUAUUGUAACAUUUUAUAUUCAGAGGAGAAAAAAAAUAAACGUAUUUUAGAAAGUUGCAUAGUGGUAAAAAUAAAGAAAUUUAGCACUUUAGAAUGUCUUGAUUAAGAUAGAAACUUCAAGAGCUCUGACACUUAGAGGCAUAUCAGAAAAUGAACAGAUUAUGCUCAAAACUCUACAUAACGUAACAAUUAUCAGAGAACUAUAAGGAUAAUUGUUAAUCUUUCCUGUUUUGGCUAAACACAGAUUGAAUUGCCUGCAUCUAUUGCUACAGCUUUACGCUUCAAAGAUGAAAAGAAAACAAAGAUUUCAUUUAGGUGCUGAGAGAGUUUUUGGUUGGGUUGACUUGUGUUAUACCAGGGGAAAAUUGUUUGCAGAGGAAAAGUACAAAUAUAAGAUUGUCACACAAAUAU